Molecule: transfer RNA, 73 nt
Filed under: Canis lupus familiaris (dog)
Lineage: Eukaryota; Metazoa; Chordata; Mammalia; Carnivora; Canidae
Also listed under: 2 other names
Rfam family: tRNA
About the family: Transfer RNA (tRNA) molecules are approximately 80 nucleotides in length.
Source: Rfam by way of RNAcentral
ACCUAGUUGGCUCAGUCAGUGGAGCAUGUGACUUUUGACCUUAUGGUUGUGGGUUCCAGCCCUACCUUGGGUG